UAGGGAAUCUUCGGCAAUGGACGAAAGUCUGACCGAGCAACGCCGCGUGAGUGAAGAAGGUUUUCGGAUCGUAAAACUCUGUUGUUAGAGAAGAACAAGGACGUUAGUAACUGAACGUCCCCUGACGGUAUCUAACCAGAAAGCCACGGCUAACUACGUGCCAGCAGCCGCGGUAAUACGUAGGUGGCAAGCGUUGUCCGGAUUUAUUGGGCGUAAAGCGAGCGCAGGCGGUUUCUUAAGUCUGAUGUGAAAGCCCCCGGCUCAACCGGGGAGGGUCAUUGGAAACUGGGAGACUUGAGUGCAGAAGAGGAGAUUGGAAUUCCAUGUGUAGCGGUGAAAUGCGUAGAUAUAUGGAGGAAAACCAGUGGCGAAGGCGGCUCUCUGGUCUGUAACUGACGCUGAGGCUCGAAAGCGUGGGGAGCAAACAGG
RNAcentral lists this ribosomal RNA (429 nucleotides) under Chloroflexota bacterium. RNAcentral's name for it is "Chloroflexi bacterium partial 16S ribosomal RNA". It matches the Rfam family "Bacterial small subunit ribosomal RNA", at positions 355 to 776 of the family's 1533-position model. The record is from RNAcentral. Lineage: Bacteria; Bacillati; Chloroflexota.